RNAcentral lists this transfer RNA (63 nucleotides) under Tenerus hilleri. RNAcentral's name for it is "tRNA-Arg". The record is from RNAcentral. Lineage: Eukaryota; Metazoa; Arthropoda; Insecta; Coleoptera; Cleridae.
CUUAAUAAGAAGCAAAAUGCAGUUAGUUUCGACCUAAAAGUUUGAUAUUAAAAUAUCCUUAUU